Haliotis rubra (blacklip abalone) is the source of this 249-nucleotide long non-coding RNA. RefSeq lists it as uncharacterized. The transcript is spliced from 4 exons. NCBI's taxonomy places the organism in Eukaryota, Metazoa, Mollusca, Gastropoda, Lepetellida, Haliotidae. The record is from RefSeq and is a predicted model, not a curated record.
AACGCUUUCAUCAAGGGUUGUCCGUAAGCACUUCUCGACAUUUUGUCUUAUGAAAACAAAAAUGUCACUAGGAGGGUCCAAUGCGGUUCUCUGCCUGAAAUUAACCUCAGGCUCUGGCAAAAGCCCCCUACCUAUACCCGUUGGACCUCCUGGGGACCAUGCAUCUACCGCAGACAGAGAAGAACACGUUCCCGUACGACCUGUGGCUGCUCUGUUACGAGCUAUCAGACUCGCAUCUGUGAGUGUGCA